Molecule: ribosomal RNA, 522 nt
Filed under: Yamadazyma michaelii
Lineage: Eukaryota; Fungi; Ascomycota; Pichiomycetes; Serinales; Debaryomycetaceae
Description: LSU rRNA
Rfam family: Eukaryotic large subunit ribosomal RNA
Source: RNAcentral
AAACCAACAGGGAUUGCCUUAGUAGCGGCGAGUGAAGCGGCAAUAGCUCAAAUUUGAAAUCUGGCACCUUCGGUGUCCGAGUUGUAAUUUGAAGAAGGUAUCUUUGGUUUUGGCUCUUGUCUAUGUUCCUUGGAACAGGACGUCACAGAGGGUGAGAAUCCCGUGCGAUGAGAUGCCCAAUUCCAUGUAAAGUUCCUUCGACGAGUCGAGUUGUUUGGGAAUGCAGCUCUAAGUGGGUGGUAAAUUCCAUCUAAAGCUAAAUAUUGGCGAGAGACCGAUAGCGAACAAGUACUGUGAAGGAAAGAUGAAAAGAACUUUGAAAAGAGAGUGAAAAAGUACGUGAAAUUGUUGAAAGGGAAGGGCUUGAGAUCAGACUUGGAAUUUUCCAGUAAUGGAGCUUUCCGGGCCAGCAUCAGUUUGGAUGGCAGGAUAAUUGCGUAGAAAAGUAGCUCUACUUCGGUGGAGUGUUAUAGUCUGCGUCGAUACUGCCUGUCUAGACUGAGGACUGCGUCUUGACUAGGA